This 301-nucleotide ribosomal RNA is filed under the name uncultured bacterium. RNAcentral describes it as "partial 16S ribosomal RNA". It matches the Rfam family "Bacterial small subunit ribosomal RNA", at positions 509 to 807 of the family's 1533-position model. The record is from RNAcentral.
CAGCCGCCACGGGAAUACAGAGGGUGCGAGCGUUAAUCGGAUUUACUGGGCGUAAAGCGUGCGUAGGCGGCUUCUUAAGUCGGAUGUGAAAUCCCUGAGCUUAACUUAGGAAUUGCAUUCGAUACUGGGAAGCUAGAGUAUGGGAGAGGAUGGUAGAAUUCCAGGUGUAGCGGUGAAAUGCGUAGAGAUCUGGAGGAAUACCGAUGGCGAAGGCAGCCAUCUGGCCUAAUACUGACGCUGAGGUACGAAAGCAUGGGGAGAAAACAGGAUUAGAUACCCGGGUAGUCCCUGUCUCUUAUAC